Molecule: ribosomal RNA, 253 nt
Filed under: uncultured bacterium
Lineage: Bacteria
Description: partial 16S ribosomal RNA
Rfam family: Bacterial small subunit ribosomal RNA
Source: RNAcentral
UACGGGGGGGGCAAGCGUUGUUCGGAAUUACUGGGCGUAAAGGGCGCGUAGGCGGUUCGCUAAGUUGGAUGUGAAAACUCUGGGCUCAACCCAGAGCCUGCAUCCAAAACUGGCGGGCUAGAGUUCUGGAGGGGGUAGCGGAAUUCCUGGUGUAGCGGUGAAAUGCGUAGAUAUCAGGAGGAACACCGGUGGCGAAGGCGGCUACCUGGACAGAAACUGACGCUGAGGCGCGAAAGCCAGGGGAGCAAACGGG